UACGUAGGGUGCGAGCGUUAAUCGGAAUUACUGGGCGUAAAGCGAGCGUAGUCGGUUAUCUAAGUCGGGUGUGAAAGCCCCGGGCUCAACCUGGGAAUUGCAUUCGAUACUGGAUAGCUAGAGUGCGGUAGAGGGAAGCGGAAUUUCCGGUGUAGCGGUGAAAUGCGUAGAUAUCGGAAGGAACAUCAGUGGCGAAAGCGGCUUCCUGGACCAGCACCGACGUUCAGGCACGAAAGCGUGGGGAGCAAACAGG
This 253-nucleotide ribosomal RNA is filed under the name uncultured bacterium. Its description in RNAcentral is "partial 16S ribosomal RNA". It matches the Rfam family "Bacterial small subunit ribosomal RNA", at positions 524 to 776 of the family's 1533-position model. The record is from RNAcentral.